UACGUAGGGUGCGAGCGUUAAUCGGAAUUACUGGGCGUAAAGCGUGCGCAGGCGGUUCGUUAUGUCCGAUGUGAAAGCCCCGAGCUCAACUUGGGAAUGGCAUUGGAAACUGGCGGGCUGGAGUGUGGCAGAGGGGGGUGGAAUUCCACGUGUAGCAGUGAAAUGCGUAGAGAUGUGGAGGAACACCGAUGGCGAAGGACAGCCCCC
This 207-nucleotide ribosomal RNA is filed under the name uncultured bacterium. Its description in RNAcentral is "partial 16S ribosomal RNA". It matches the Rfam family "Bacterial small subunit ribosomal RNA", at positions 524 to 729 of the family's 1533-position model. The record is from RNAcentral.